AACUAAAAAGGAUGGAUCCUAUAGAUGUUGAGACAGUAUGUUUGCCUGUGUUCUUACUGUCCAAUGAAUAAUUUCUUUUGACAGUCCAUUUCCAUUUGCAGGUCUCAUUUAUAGAAACUAAAAAGGAUGGAUCCUAUAGAUGUUGAGAUGGUAUGUUUGCCUGUGUUCUUACUGUCCAAUGAAUAAUUUCUUUUGACAGUCCAUUUCCAUUUGCUUCAAACAAAUAAUUUGUACUCCUUAAAUGGAGUUAAGAUAUUGAAACUUUAUUUCUACCAAGGCUUUGAAAUAUUGACUUUGGAUAGAUAUUAGAAAUGUGAAGUUAUAAAUUUAUGUUAGAGAAGUACUUACCAAAUCAUACUCUGUUUAGGUGCUACUGCUGAUGAGAAAUCUAUCUAUCAAUUUAAGGAGCCCAGAUUUUGAGGAUCAUGUGUGACACUUUUUAGAGGCUUCUCCAUGAGAAAGGAGCUAUAUGAACAUGAUGGAGUUUGUAAUUUGUAGUUUAUAUUUUGGAGAUUUAUAAUUUCUUAUUUUUCUUGUCCUAUGUAUCUAUCUAGUUCAUUAGGGUUCUUCAAUGUAUCUUGUUAGUUUGUACUUUAAAGUUUAUAUGUUGAAGAUUUAUAAAA
Non-coding RNA from Arachis ipaensis, 623 nucleotides. The record is from RefSeq and is a predicted model, not a curated record. NCBI's taxonomy places the organism in Eukaryota, Viridiplantae, Streptophyta, Magnoliopsida, Fabales, Fabaceae.